CAGUCGCCGCGGGAAUACGGAGGGCGCGAGCGUUACCCGGAUUUACUGGGCGUAAAGGGCGUGUAGGCGGCCUGGGGCGUCCCAUGUGAAAGGCAACGGCUCAACCGUGGAGGAGCGUGGGAUACGCUCAGGCUAGAGGGUGGGAGAGGGUGGUGGAAUUCCCGGAGUAGCGGUGAAAUGCGCAGAUACCGGGAGGAACGCCGAUGGCGAAGGCAGCCACCUGGUCCACUUCUGACGCUGAGGCGCGAAAGCGUGGGGAGCAAACCGGAUUAGAUACCCGCGUAGUCCCUGUCUCUUAUAC
Molecule: ribosomal RNA, 301 nt
Filed under: uncultured bacterium
Lineage: Bacteria
Description: partial 16S ribosomal RNA
Rfam family: Bacterial small subunit ribosomal RNA
Source: RNAcentral